Molecule: ribosomal RNA, 268 nt
Filed under: uncultured bacterium
Lineage: Bacteria
Description: partial 16S ribosomal RNA
Rfam family: Bacterial small subunit ribosomal RNA
Source: RNAcentral
CGGACCGGCGCACGGGUGAGUAACGCGUAUGCGACCUGCCCGUUGCAGGGGGGAUAAUCGGGAGAAAUCCCGUCUAAUACCGCGUAACGCCGCGGGGCUGCAUGGCCCUGCGGCCAAAGGGAGCGAUUCCGGCAACGGAUGGGCAUGCGUGACAUUAGCUAGUUGGCGGGGCAACGGCCCACCAAGGCGACGAUGUCUAGGGGUUCUGAGAGGAAGGUCCCCCACACCGGUACUGAGACACGGACCAGACUCCUACGGAAGGCAGCAG